AGAGCGAACGCUGGCGGCAGGCCUAACACAUGCAAGUCGAGCGCCCGUAGCAAUACGGGAGCGGCAGACGGGAUAGUAACACGUGGGAACGCGCCCUUCGGUUCGGAAUAACUCAGGGAAACUUGAGCUAAUACCGGAUACGCCCUUACGGGGAAAGAUUUAUUGCCGAAGGAACGGCCCGCGUCCGAUUAGCUAGUUGGUGAGGUAAUGGCUCACCAAGGCGACGAUCGGUAGCUGGUCUGAGAGGAUGACCAGCAUCACUGGGACUGAGACACGGCCCAGACUCCUACGGGAGGCAGCAGUGGGGAAUAUUGGACAAUGGGCGGCAAGCCUGAUCCAGCCAUGCCGCGUGGAUGAUGAAGGCCUUAGGGUUGUAAAGUCCUUUUAACGGGGAAGAUAAUGACGGUACCCGUAGAAUAAGCCCGGCUAACUUCGUGCCAGCAGCCGC
Molecule: ribosomal RNA, 448 nt
Filed under: uncultured bacterium
Lineage: Bacteria
Description: SSU rRNA
Rfam family: Bacterial small subunit ribosomal RNA
Source: RNAcentral